UUGAACGCUGGCGGCAUGCCUUACACAUGCAAGUCGAACGGUAACAGGGAGCUUGCUCCGCUGACGAGUGGCGAACGGGUGAGUAAUAUAUCGGAACGUACCUUUGAGUGGGGGAUAACUAGUCGAAAGACUAGCUAAUACCGCAUACGAUCUACGGAUGAAAGUGGGGGAUCGCAAGACCUCAUGCUCAUAGAGCGGCCGAUAUCUGAUUAGCUAGUUGGUGAGGUAAAGGCUCACCAAGGCUUCGAUCAGUAGCUG
RNAcentral lists this ribosomal RNA (258 nucleotides) under Collimonas sp. ISO648_OTU1303. RNAcentral's name for it is "partial 16S ribosomal RNA". It matches the Rfam family "Bacterial small subunit ribosomal RNA", at positions 30 to 289 of the family's 1533-position model. The record is from RNAcentral. Lineage: Bacteria; Pseudomonadati; Pseudomonadota; Betaproteobacteria; Burkholderiales; Oxalobacteraceae.